This 400-nucleotide ribosomal RNA is filed under the name uncultured bacterium. Its description in RNAcentral is "bacterial SSU rRNA". It matches the Rfam family "Bacterial small subunit ribosomal RNA", at positions 356 to 773 of the family's 1533-position model. The record is from RNAcentral.
GGGGAAUAUUGGACAAUGGGCGCAAGCCUGAUCCAGCCAUGCCGCGUGAGUGAUGAAGGUCUUAGGAUUGUAAAGCUCUUUCAGUGGGGACGAUAAUGACGGUACCCACAGAAGAAGCCCCGGCUAACUUCGUGCCAGCAGCCGCGGUAAUACGAAGGGGGCUAGCGUUGUUCGGAAUUACUGGGCGUAAAGCGCACGUAGGCGGAUAUUUAAGUCGGGGGUGAAAUCCCGGGGCUCAACCCCGGAACUGCCUUCGAUACUGGGUAUCUUGAGUUCGGAAGAGGUGAGUGGAAUUGCGAGUGUAGAGGUGAAAUUCGUAGAUAUUCGCAGGAACACCAGUGGCGAAGGCGGCUCACUGGUCCGAGACUGACGCUGAGGUGCGAAAGCGUGGGGAGCAAAC